UGCUGGCGACCGGCGCACGGGUGAGUAACACGUAUCCAACCUGCCCUUUACUCGGGGAUAGCCUUUCGAAAGAAAGAUUAAUACCCGAUGGGAUAAUCAUUCCGCAUGGUUUGAUUAUUAAAGGAUUCCGGUAAAGGAUGGGGAUGCGUUCCAUUAGGUUGUUGGUGAGGUAACGGCCCACCAAGCCUUCGAUGGAUAGGGG
This 202-nucleotide ribosomal RNA is filed under the name Bacteroides fragilis. RNAcentral's name for it is "partial 16S ribosomal RNA". It matches the Rfam family "Bacterial small subunit ribosomal RNA", at positions 86 to 289 of the family's 1533-position model. Lineage: Bacteria; Pseudomonadati; Bacteroidota; Bacteroidia; Bacteroidales; Bacteroidaceae. The record is from RNAcentral.